Acanthosepion pharaonis is the source of this 113-nucleotide non-coding RNA. The record is from the annotation of a GenBank genome assembly. NCBI's taxonomy places the organism in Eukaryota, Metazoa, Mollusca, Cephalopoda, Sepiida, Sepiidae.
UACGGCCAUAUCAUAUUGAAACAUCAGUUCUCAUAUGAUCAUCGAAGUUAAGGAAUCUCGAGCCUGACCAGUACCUAGAUGAGUGACCGCUUGGGAAUACCAGGUGAUGUAAG